Molecule: long non-coding RNA, 981 nt
Organism: Bos taurus (domestic cattle)
Lineage: Eukaryota; Metazoa; Chordata; Mammalia; Artiodactyla; Bovidae
Source: Ensembl
GGAGAGCAAAACCGUGGAGCCCAGUCGAAACGCGCUGAGUUCACACGCUGUGGCUGGACCGAGUGGAAGUCUGCGGUGGUUAAUAACUCAGACAACCAAACCAAAAUCCGGAGGUUCGCCCCCAAAGCAACCUAAACUUUGCUUCACGGGGACGGAUACCAAGUGCUGAUGAGGAUGUGGAGUAACAGAAUUCCUCAUGCUGCUGGAGUAUAAACUACUAAAAAAAAAAAUAAUAAUAACUUUCGAAAACAAUUUGGCGCUGUACUAUAGAAGCCAAGGCUAUGGUUUUUCCAGUGGUCAUGUAUGGAUGUGAGAGUUGGACUAUAAAGAAAGCUGAACUUCGAAGAAUUGAUGCUUUUGAACUGUGGUGUUGGAGAAGACUCUUGAGAGUCCCUUGGACUGCAAGGAGAUCCAACCAGUCCAUCCUAAAGGAAAGCAGUCCUGAACAUUCAUUGGAAGGACUGAUGGCUAAAGCUGAAAUUCCAAUACUUUGGCCAUCUGAUGCAAAGAGCUUACUCAUUUGAAAAGACCCUGAUGCUAGGAAAGACUGAAGGCGGGAGGAGAAGGGGACGACAGAGGAUGAGGUGGUUGGAUGGCAUCACCGACUCAACGGACGUGAGUUUGAGCAAACUCCGGGAGUUGGUGAUUGACAGGGAGACCUGGUUGCUGCAGUCCAUGGGAUUGCAAAGAAUCGGACACGACUGAGCGACUAAACUGAACUGAACUAUAGAAGCCAACCCUGUGACCCAGCAGUUCCAUGGUUAUGUGUACAGCCAAGAGAAAUGUGUGCUUACAAGGCACCAACAGUUAUCAGAAUGUUGACGAUGCAUUUGUUUUAAUAACCCCAAAUGGAAAUAACCAAAAAGACCAUCAAGGAUAGAAUAAGGGUCCAGCAAGAGACAGAUGGCACACUCAAAACAGGUGGUCUCAAAGAUGGUUUUUGCACAGACUGUUUGCGAAGAUGUAGGAGAAAGGAAUCCG